UACGUAGGUGGCAAGCGUUGUCCGGAAUCAUUGGGCGUAAAGAGCGCGUAGGCGGCCCGAUAAGUCCGCUGUGAAAGUCAAGGGCUCAACCCUUGAAUGCCGGUGGAUACUGUCGGGCUAGAGUCCGGAAGAGGCGAGUGGAAUUCCCGGUGUAGCGGUGAAAUGCGCAGAUAUCGGGAGGAACACCGGUGGCGAAGGCGGUUCUCUGGGCCUUACCUGACGCUGAGGAGCGAAAGCGUGGGGAGCGAACAGG
RNAcentral lists this ribosomal RNA (253 nucleotides) under uncultured bacterium. RNAcentral's name for it is "partial 16S ribosomal RNA". It matches the Rfam family "Bacterial small subunit ribosomal RNA", at positions 524 to 776 of the family's 1533-position model. The record is from RNAcentral.